Molecule: ribosomal RNA, 429 nt
Filed under: Gemmatimonadota bacterium
Lineage: Bacteria; Pseudomonadati; Gemmatimonadota
Description: Gemmatimonadetes bacterium partial 16S ribosomal RNA
Rfam family: Bacterial small subunit ribosomal RNA
Source: RNAcentral
UAGGGAAUCUUCGGCAAUGGACGAAAGUCUGACCGAGCAACGCCGCGUGAGUGAAGAAGGUUUUCGGAUCGUAAAACUCUGUUGUUAGAGAAGAACAAGGACGUUAGUAACUGAACGUCCCCUGACGGUAUCUAACCAGAAAGCCACGGCUAACUACGUGCCAGCAGCCGCGGUAAUACGUAGGUGGCAAGCGUUGUUCGGAUUUAUUGGGCGUAAAGCGAGCGCAGGCGGUUUCUUAAGUCUGAGGUGAAAGCCCCCGGCUCAACCGGGGAGGGUCAUUGGAAACUGGGAGACUUGAGUGCAGAAGAGGAGAGUGGAAUUCCAUGUGUAGCGGUGAAAUGCGUAGAUAUAUGGAGGAACACCAGUGGCGAAGGCGGCUCGCUGGUCUGUAACUGACGAUGAGGCUCGAAAGCGUGGGGAGCAAACAGG